GUGUGUUUGCAUGCUAGGCAAUGUGGUGUUAAUGCUUGUACCUGGGAUCGUGUACCUACCCGAAGUCUAAAUCCGAUUGUGGCUUUGGAUUCAUUCCAUAGCGGGUGAAAGUCCCGUGCGGGUAGGACUCAUUCUAAUCACACGGUCCUCAGAUGUGCAUGCAUUCGAGUCGGAUUGCUUGAGAAUGCAGUCCAAAGUGGGUGGUAAACUCCAUCCAAGGCUAAAUACUGGCACGAGUCCGAUAGUAGACAAGUACCGUGAGGGAAAGUUGAAAAGUACUCUGAAGAGAGAGUAAAUAGUACGUGAAGCCGAUUGCAGGGAAGCUGGUGGAGUCAAGCUUCGUGCUUGAGGGAUUGAUGCUGGGAGCAGGUGUGUGAUUUGGAUGUGAGGUUGGACGACUUGGAAUAAGUUGGGCGUGUUCUGAAUGCGCUUCAAGUCAUUCUGGGUAGAGUGUUAUGAGCCAGCCUCGCUUUCCUACUCUCAGUGUUGUAUUCUUCGCUGCACAGGCCACAGUCAAUAGGUGCAUGCGGUAUGAAGGCCUAACUGUGCUUCGGCGGGUGCAAGCUCUCCGGGCGCAGAUGGCAUGUGCUGUCUUCGGGCCUUGUGUUCGUUGAUAGUUGUUGUGGUUUUGACCGGCUGGUCUUCAUACUG
This 651-nucleotide ribosomal RNA is filed under the name Cichlidogyrus thurstonae. Its description in RNAcentral is "partial large subunit ribosomal RNA". It matches the Rfam family "Eukaryotic large subunit ribosomal RNA", at positions 126 to 636 of the family's 3401-position model. Lineage: Eukaryota; Metazoa; Platyhelminthes; Monogenea; Dactylogyridea; Ancyrocephalidae. The record is from RNAcentral.